This 312-nucleotide long non-coding RNA is filed under the name Homo sapiens (human). RNAcentral's name for it is "HSALNT0302804". The record is from RNAcentral. Lineage: Eukaryota; Metazoa; Chordata; Mammalia; Primates; Hominidae.
GAGUCCGGGUGAGUAGGAGAAGAUGGCGGAGGCAACGGACGGGUCGCGGUUGCGUGGCGUCGCCCACCACGACCCACUCCACGGGCUCUGAGGCCCGGGGAGCGCCAGUUCCUUGAAGGUCCUCCGUCCUGGAGCAGUAAGAUCCUUGACGUAACUAGAAAUGGCAGGACGGAGUCUCGCUCUGUCACCCAAGCUGGAAUGCCGUGGCGCAAUCUUAGUUCACUGCAACCUCUGCCUCCUCGGUCCAAGCCAUUCUCCUGCCUCAGCCUCCCGAAUAGGCAAAUGAAUAAAAGAACAUCUUUUAUUUACCCG